Cephus cinctus (wheat stem sawfly) is the source of this 4736-nucleotide long non-coding RNA. RefSeq lists it as uncharacterized. The transcript is spliced from 4 exons. The record is from RefSeq and is a predicted model, not a curated record. NCBI's taxonomy places the organism in Eukaryota, Metazoa, Arthropoda, Insecta, Hymenoptera, Cephidae.
UAGAAAGAGCUUCGUAGAAGCUGAAUACCCAAUGUGAAGUAAAACAGCAAAGUACACGGAUUCAGCAGACAACUUCUGCACUCCAAAUUCUAUGUUACUCAGAACAUAGGUAAAAAUUUGGUGGAAGAAAAAUACAGGGUUUUUGUUAUAAUCAAGUGGGUGUAGAAGAUAUGAUCCAGUGUGUCGUGAAACAGUGAACGUAUAGCAGAUGUCAUUCUAUCAUAGGAUAAACAUCGUAGUGUCAGUAUUAUCUAACUAGACUGGACUCAUAAAUCAGACUACAAUAACUGUAUCAUCAUUCUCACGCAUAUUUCGAUCUUUUAUACGGCAGGCGAUAUGUCAAGAAAUGUAGACAAAUAUUUUUACGCAGAUAUUUGGAUCAUUAGUGUUACGAGUAAUGAGAUUGGCCGUUAGAAUUUUAAAAAAUAAUGUAGAGUCAAAAAGAACGAAUAGGAACUUUUCACGAAUCUUUUCAGCUUUUUCAACAUUCAAUGCAUCCGGUAUCAGUAGACGAGUGUGCCAGACACCAUGUGGUUUUCAACUUUUUCCAAUGGCGUCAUUCACCCCAUCCAUUCCUCUUUUUCUCAUUUUCUCCCACCAUAACCCUGCCAGCCACCAUCCCAACUCGUGGUUGAUAUUGAUCCAGCAGCAAUGUCUACAUGUGUCGCUAUAAUAUCAUAAUGGCUCACAUCAUUUAUAGUUCACAGCUGCAUAAUCUAAAUCCUAUUGAAUUUCGUACGUAUACAUUUUUAAAGUCAGUCCUUUUGCUAGCUUCUUUUAUGGUGGUCCAUCCGGUAUCGCCAUUCUUAUAUUCAUGGCGUCCAAUGCGAUUCUUAAGAUUUACAUAUGAAGGAACUAUGCAUAAUAUAUAUUUUAUUCUUACUCAAGAUGAGUCGCCAUAACUAAAACGGUCUUCCUAUUGAUCUGACCUGAGUCAAUUCUACACUGGCACACGUGCUUUACACCAAACAAUGGCGAACUUACCACUGACUAGGUAAUUGACAACUGAUAAUCCUCGUAUAAAAAAAUAAUAAAUUUGUAAAUCCCAUUCUAACAUUGCUUACGGGUUGUUUAAUUUGAAUAUCCAUAUCCAGUGAAUGAAACGGAUAUCUUUGUUCAUCAAUGUCAACCCUUUGACAUGACGGUACUGACUAAUAGUACAACAAACUGGAUGUCUUAUCAAUGGAGUUCACAAGUCGUAUGAUAUAUGCAUUAAGACGGUUUAUUGAUGUGGCAUUGACAUUUCUAUUUCGUAAGAAGAAAUUCGAUUUCACGAAGGAUUCUAAGCUGAUUUAUUUUUACGUCAGAACCAAAUAUGAUCAAUAAUCAAUUUUCUUAAAUAGACCAAUCCAGAAGGUUAGGGAGAAAAUAAUAUUUUAGUAUUACACACAAUAUCGAUCUUGCCAGCUACAAUAGUCGAGUUAUCUCUUAUCACAGUGCACACUACUCGUGCUUAUCGCGGUAUCAGUGUCUAUGUUAUAAAUUACGUUUUUGUUCUCGAAGGUUUCCAAGGUGUGCAAUUAUUUUUGAAUAACACGGUAGGCGAUACUAUAUAUACUGAUAGCAUUGAUUUUUAUAAUGAAAAAAAUCAUCUUGUUAUGUAUUAUGAUUGCUGGCAUAAAAUCACCUGCAUAAACAGAUGCCAUGAAUAUACUAUCAUACUGUGACUGGUAACUAGGUACUUGGUGCCAGCAAGGCUGCCGGGAUUCGCACGCCAGCUAGAGGGUGUCCGGAAAAUCAAUGCGAGACCCCGGAGGCCAAACGCCAAGAGCGCGAAGCCGUUGGCAAGGGUGCGGCAGGAACUACAGGUUCAGGCUAGUAAACUUUUGCUCGGCAACUUCUGAUGUGCUGCUGGUAAUACUUACAUGGUCACUAGAGCUUUCAUGAAGCAGUGGACCCUGGGGAUUAUACUAAGCAGCUGAAGGAUUCCAGAGGUUGAGGGUUUCAGAAGAUGUCUGUGUUAUACCAAUGAAAAUUGAUGCUCGUCGCAUGAGUGAUGGAUUCUCAUAAUUCACCUGAGCUGACUCUUUCAAAAGUGUCUUGAUAAAAGCUUCAGAGUGGAGUUGGAUGAGUUAUAACGUUGACUGGUUACCACCCAUCGAUAUCGGUUUAUUGUCUGGCAGAAUCAAUUGGGUCACCUUAAUGCAAGUGGAGGCUGAAGCAAAAAUGCGGCAUAACAAUACGAUAAAUAAUUAUGUAGGAAAAAGACUAAAAAAUGUAUGAACUUGGCCUUUGUCUAUUGUGAAUAUUUUUAUACAGACUUGAAAUGCGCCAUUUCGUGUGGUUUCUGGGAAUAAAAUAUUCCACGUACUUAUGCAAAUGUUCUUGCAUAGGUGUACACUGGUGAAACUUCCUGUGUAAGAGAUCCUGAAACAAUAGUGGCUUGAGCACCCUUGAGUAGCUCUCUGGUUUUCCUCUUGGCUUGUGAAAGGGUGAAAUGAUGUCUGUAGGGGAGUGACUGGGCUGAGAACACUGGUACUGGAUAGUGGGCUACCACAGAAAAUUAAAUUGGCUGUUUUACCGCCGAGUAAAGUGUCGGAAUUUGAUUUUAGGUUAGCGCAUUUUAAAGCAUUGUUUCCGUUACGGCAAAGUAAAUUUAUCCUAAUUCGAGUAAAAUCAAUAGGCAAUAGAAACACCAAAUAUUCUCAAGGAAUAAUUAAAACUUUUCUUUCCAUCAAAAUCAUUAAAUAAAAGAAUGAGUAGUUCGUUCUUAAAAAAUCUUCGACUGUCGCUACAGCUGACUAAGUGAAAAGAUAAACCUAAAUCCGGUGCUCGUCAGUGUCCAUUUCGUUGAUUAGAUUUUUCAUGAGAUUCUCUUCACUUGUGCAUAAUUUCCUUCUGAAAUAUGGCAGCGAUGCAUUCUGUUUUUAAAAAUAUCUUUAUCUAUACUGGACUGUAAAAAAGUGCAUAAUUUAUCAACUUAUCAUGACUACUAUGAACUCUGAUAAUAUAUCAGCUAGAAUUAUAUUAGUCAUGUGAAAUAGCACAUUGCACCAAUUAUUACUAUAAUGUAGCAGAAUGCAGCAUGAAGAGUUGCAGCGUUUUGGCAGAGAGUGUAAUUAUAUCGUCCUGACGAUGCAGUCUGAUUGGCUAUUUAUUCUUCUUAUUGCAUUUUUCAACUUGUCUACUUGUUUUUACCACCUCGUGGUACAAUCACUUUACCUCUUUAAAAUUAUCAGAGCAUUACCUGUUCGGCUCAAUGAAUAUCAUUGGCUGGGAUGAACUUUGAAUGCAUUUCGUGCAAAAUAUGCAUCAGCGAUUUUGCAUAACGAAACGACAAUUUAUACCUGAAUGAAUUCAAUGUGUUUAUCGUAUUUCAUGUAAUACGAAUAGCUACGAAUUUCUUAAGCUGAUCAAUGAACAGUAAAUCCUGAAUAGAAAUCAUUCGAACCUACUAUAGUUUGAUGAAUGAUUUUUCAUUCAAUGAUAAUUAAUUGUUUGACAUGCUUGAUUUGGAAUUGGAAUUUUCUUACCUGACUCAAUCAUGUUUCUUAUAGACUCUCUUCUAGUAAAAUACAUUUACUUGAAUGGUGAUAAGUUAUCAUGUUAUCGCUAUAAUGCCAUCAGCACUGUUAUUUUUUAUCACUUUUUUCACGGCAAAACCGUUUUAGAAUAAUCAAACACAUUAAACUUUACCUCGCGACGCCGAGGUCUCGAGCCAGCAGUUUUUCGCAUGUUAACAAUAUUAUUGUAUUAAUUAAUAAUCCUUCACUUGUCUAAUGCUAUAAAUACAUAUAUAUAUGUGCAAACAUCCCAAUUAUUCGUGUCCAAACGAUUGGAAAAUUCAAUUUUAUUUUUAUUUUUUCUUCCAAAACUAUCUUCUCCACUCCUGAAAAAGUCAUGUUAGAUUUUCUAGAAAUUAUCGAAGCAUUGUUGUUGCUUCUCCGAAGUGUCAAUUGGCCGUUAGUUUUCAGUGUGAAAUUUCUACUUUGAGCGCGAGUUUACGACGUGCAGUCAAUUAACAGUUACGAGGUUAGCGGCUCGGUAAAUUUGGAAUUCAAACAGAUUCAGAGAUUAAGGAAUCGCGUAAUUAAUAUUUCGCACACGUAUCUAUCAUGUGAAUAAAUCGAAUGUAAAAAGCAGAAAGAGAAAUCCUUUAUAUCCAUUACUAACCUUUUCGUCUUAACAAUACAGCAAUUAUAUCUCGACAAUAAAACUGUUGUAUUAGGAUAAUCCUACUGUUGUUCUACCUUACUAUACCUUCAUUAUCAUUGAUAAUCAUGCCGAUAUAAUAGGUCUCUGCAUCUAGUCAUGCUUAAGUUCAGUUUUCAUAGGCGCGAUAAAACUUUUCUAUUUAAGCCCUUAUUCUCAAUAUUUUGUAUAUGUAUGUAGUAUUCUAUGCAGCCGCUUGAUUAAUUUGGAUAAUCCCAAUAUCACGUGUAUCGUUAUUAUCCAGAGCUUUUUAAUGGCACCCGUUGGCCGUGUUCACUGACGUCUCAGAGAUGGCGCCACUUAUCAUGUGUGGGAAUCCGGUGCACAGGUAGAGCAGAAUAGACUGGAGACGACUGAGGAAGGAUAUUAAAUACAUCACUGCAAUAUAAUAUACAUUUUGUGUGGUAUAUGCGCUACCACUUUGGACUGUUACUUUUUUAAAGGACAUUAAUGAUGGCGAAAAGAGGAAGAUUGUUAAAAAGAAAGAAUGAAGAAGAGAGAUGGUAACGACUGAUUGAACAAGGAGAGAAAAAGAUGCGUAAAACUUACGCACGAGGAUCAGAUUAUUCUGGAGGAGCGAGAAA